GAUGAACGCUGGCGGCGUGCCUAAUACAUGCAAGUCGAGCGAACGGACGAGAAGCUUGCUUUUCUGAUGUUAGCGGCGGACGGGUGAGUAACACGUGGAUAACCUACCUAUAAGACUGGGAUAACUUCGGGAAACCGGAGCUAAUACCGGAUAAUAUUUUGAACCGCAUGGUUCAAAAGUGAAAGACGGUCUUGCUGUCACUUAUAAAUGGAUCCGCGCUGCAUUAGCUAGUUGGUAAGGUAACGGCUUACCAAGGCAACGAUGCAUAGCCGACCUGAGAGGGUGAUCGGCCACACUGGAACUGAGACACGGUCCAGACUCCUACGGGAGGCAGCAGUAGGGAAUCUUCCGCAAUGGGCGAAAGCCUGACGGAGCAACGCCGCGUGAGUGAUGAAGGUCUGCGGAUCGUAAAACUCUGUUAUUAGGGAAGAACAUAUGUGUAAGUAACUGUGCACAUCUUGACGGUACCUAAUCAGAAAGCCACGGCUAACUACGU
Molecule: ribosomal RNA, 496 nt
Filed under: uncultured bacterium
Lineage: Bacteria
Description: partial 16S ribosomal RNA
Rfam family: Bacterial small subunit ribosomal RNA
Source: RNAcentral